This 497-nucleotide ribosomal RNA is filed under the name uncultured bacterium. RNAcentral's name for it is "partial 16S ribosomal RNA". It matches the Rfam family "Bacterial small subunit ribosomal RNA", at positions 28 to 507 of the family's 1533-position model. The record is from RNAcentral.
GACGAACGCUGGCGGCGUGCCUAAUACAUGCAAGUUGAGCGCUGAAGGUUGGUACUUGUACCAACUGGAUGAGCAGCGAACGGGUGAGUAACGCGUGGGGAAUCUGCCUUUGAGCGGGGGACAACAUUUGGAAACGAAUGCUAAUACCGCAUAAAAACUUUAAACACAAGUUUUAAGUUUGAAAGAUGCAAUUGCAUCACUCAAAGAUGAUCCCGCGUUGUAUUAGCUAGUUGGUGAGGUAAAGGCUCACCAAGGCGAUGAUACAUAGCCGACCUGAGAGGGUGAGCGGCCACAUUGGGACUGAGACACGGCCCAAACUCCUACGGGAGGCAGCAGUAGGGAAUCUUCGGCAAUGGACGAAAGUCUGACCGAGCAACGCCGCGUGUGUGAAGAAGGUUUUCGGAUCGUAAAACUCUGUUGGUAGAGAAGAACGUUGGUGAGAGUGGAAAGCUCAUCAAGUGACGGUAACUACCCAGAAAGGGACGGCUAACUACGUG